Long non-coding RNA from Cyprinus carpio carpio, 1931 nucleotides. The record is from Ensembl. Lineage: Eukaryota; Metazoa; Chordata; Actinopteri; Cypriniformes; Cyprinidae.
AGCUAAACUUUGCAGGAGAGUCGAUUGCCAGGAGCAGGGUUGGGCACCCCUGGUCGAUGCGUCUAAGACCAGCACUCUUGAGGCCGCUGCCAAACCUGAAGAACCUCCGGCGCCAAAACCAGAGGAGAAGAAACUAGAAAAGAAAUCCACUUUUGGAAACAUGUUCAAACCCAAGGCACCAGAGCCCAAGAAGGACACUCCAGCUGCUCCUCCCGUGGCAGAAGCCGCUCCACCCGCAAAGGCCAAAGAGGAGCCGAGACCCACCACUCCUGCACAGCAAGCGGUCCCGGACAACAAAUCAGCCGACAGCACAGGGAACGCCUCCCCCAACAUGCCCCACAAGCUGGAGAAGAGGAACUCCCUCCAGCUGUUCUUCAAAAACCUGGGCCAAAAACGCCAUUCUGAUGCCGGAGUGCAAACGGACCCUGUGGCACCCGAGAAGGCCAAAUAAAACCCCGCCUUUGUUUUGAUCGCUCAUCUGUGCCAAAACCAUUGGCAGCCAUGCACAUAAGAACAUAUUUACCAAAGUUGGGAGGUAUUAUGCUGACUUGCAAGGCCCAAGUUUGAAGUAACUAUCAAAUAAUAAUCUGAAUUCCCAUGCAUUUAAUGAGAGCAGAAGUAAGUGUAACGAUUUCCCUGUUAAGCAAGUGCUACAUGUGUUUAUGACCGGAGGGAGGAACUCGUGUUGUUUUUCAGAGAGAAACGUGUCAGAGUUGCGUGGUGUGGCAUGAGAUGGAAAAGUGAAAGUGAAAAUGUAAUCCUGCAUUGAAGAUAAACUCCCUUUUUUAUGUGCAUGUUAAAAUGUAAAAUAUGUUAACUAUACUAACACUACUUAUAUUGCAUCACACAUUAAAGCCGAUGCAUUAAGAUGCCUUUUCACCGGGACAAAGAUAACAUCAUGCGCGUUUGCAUGUGAAAAGAAUUUAUUUAUGUAAUCAUACACUGUCAUCUGAUUAUGAAUACAAUGACCCAUCGUCUGCUGAAUUCAAUCACUGAAACCUACAAAGCCAAUUUGAAUUCCACUUAAAGUGCAAAACUUCUGAAUCACUUUAAUAAAUCCAUAGAAAUCACAAUUAUUUAUUUAACAUAAUGUCAAUCAAAUUGAGCACCAUAUAUUAUUACUCCAAAUUAUUCGGUUAUUUAAGUUCAGCCCAGUUUCUAUUUAAAAAAUAAUAAUUGUUUUCAUUUCUACAAUUGUUUAUUAAUCAUAACUUACUAACUAAACCACAUUACAAUUAUUGUCUUUUUAUUUGCUUGGCCGUCCAUUUCUGACCGGAGGAGACUAAAAAGAAAUUAAGCUAGUUAAAUGUUUUAUUUUCUUUCUUAUUUUCCGAACAUAUCAGUUGUUAUUAGAACAGUAUGAAAUAAAUAUGUGGUAUACAGUUAUGCAAUAUACAAUGUACAUUCAAUUUAGCUGCAGUCACAUGUGUUUUAUGAUUUUCUUCCUAAUUAUCGCUACAUUUGUAAAGAGUAGAUGGGCCUAAUUAAGAAUUCAGACUGUAUCCAUGAAUCUUAGACUUUCUGUAACUCCUUUGUUGCAUUUUUGUCUAUUUAACCAAUUUAUAAAAAUAAAAGAAUCAUUUCUCUCCUCUGUAAAAAUGACUCGUUCUGUAUUUACAGCAUGAAAACAUAGAUUUUAAAAUAUAUAGUUUUACAUUUUCCUGGGGGAAAAAAAGUGUUUGCUGGUGUAGGUUUCCACAUGGCUAUAUAUAUAUAUAUAUAUAUAUAUAUAUAUUGUAAUUAUGAUUUAGUUUACAGCUAAUUUCUUAAUAGUUUGCUUUGUUAAGUCUGAUAUUUCCAAAGAGGGCAUGUGUCCGGACCGCCUACAGGGCAGCACAAAUUUGGAAAACUAUUAACAUGGGACAAAAGAUGCAUGGUAUUCUAGGCACUUUUUGUGAGUGCAGUGUGCUCUUCAUGCUGGUGUUUUCCCG